Molecule: ribosomal RNA, 1183 nt
Filed under: uncultured bacterium
Lineage: Bacteria
Description: bacterial SSU rRNA
Rfam family: Bacterial small subunit ribosomal RNA
Source: RNAcentral
AGAUUGGCCCGCGACCCAUUAGCUAAGUUGGUAGGGUAAAGGCUUACCAAGGAGAAGAUGGUAUCCGGCUUGAGAGGGUGAUCGGACACAUUGGGACUGAGAUACGGCCCAGACUCCUACGGGAGGCAGCAGCUAGGAAUAUUCCACAAUGGACGAAAGUCUGAUGGAGCGACGCCGCGUGGAUGAUGAAGGCCGAAAGGUUGUAAAAUCUUUUUACACUGGAGGAAUAAGCAGAGUAGGGAAUGACUCUGUGAUAACUGUACAGUUUGAAUAAGCAACGGCUAAUUACGUGCCAGCAGCCGCGGUAACACGUAAGUUGCGAGCGUUGUUCGGAAUUAUUGGGCGUAAAGGGCAUGUAGGCGGAUUUGCAAGCUUGAUGUGAAAUCCCGCAGAUUAACUGCGGAACUGCAUUGGGAACUGCAAGACUAGAGUUACUGAGGGGAAACUAGAAUUCCAAGUGUAGGGGUGAAAUCUGUAGAUAUUUGGAAGAAUACCAAUGGCGAAGGCAAGUUUCUGGCAGAUAACUGACGCUGAGGUGCGAAGGUGCGGGGAGCAAACGGGAUUAGAUACCCUGGUAGUCCGCACAGUAAACGAUGUACACUAGGUGUUUGACCAUGAGGUUGAGUGCCAUAGCUAACGCAAUAAGUGUACCGCCUGGGAAGUAUGCCCGCAAGGGUGAAACUCAAAGGAAUUGACGGGGGCCCGCACAAGCGGUGGAGCAUGUGGUUUAAUUCGAUGGUACGCGAGGAACCUUACCUGGGUUUGACAUAUACUGGAAUGUUAUAGAGAUAUAGCAGCGUAGCAAUACGCCGGUAUACAGGUGCUGCAUGGCUGUCGUCAGCUCGUGCCGUGAGGUGUUGGGUUAAGUCCCGCAACGAGCGCAACCCCUACUCUCAGUUGGUAACAGAUAAUGAUGAGGAUUCUGGCGGAACUGCCGGUGACAAACCGGAGGAAGGUGGGGAGGACGUCAAGUCAUCAUGGCCCUUAUGUCCAGGGCUACACACGUCCUACAAUGGUAGAAACAAAGCGAUGCUACAAUGCAAAGUCACGCAAAACGCAAAAAAGCUAUGGUAGUUUGGAUUCGAGUUUGAAACUCGACCCCAUGAAGUUGGAUUUGCUAAUAUUCGCGCAUCAGCACGGCGCGGUGAAGACGGUGCCGGGCCGUGCCCAAAGCGCCCCUCAA